UGGGGAAUUUUGGACAAUGGGCGAAAGCCUGAUCCAGCAAUGCCGCGUGUGUGAAGAAGGCCUUCGGGUUGUAAAGCACUUUUGUCCGGAAAGAAAUCCUUGGCUCUAAUACAGUCGGGGGAUGACGGUACCGGAAGAAUAAGCACCGGCUAACUACGUGCCAGCAGCCGCGGUAAUACGUAGGGUGCAAGCGUUAAUCGGAAUUACUGGGCGUAAAGCGUGCGCAGGCGGUUUGCUAAGACCGAUGUGAAAUCCCCGGGCUCAACCUGGGAACUGCAUUGGGUGACUGGCAGGCUAGAGUAUGGCAGAGGGGGGUAGAAUUCCACGUGUAGCAGUGAAAUGCGUAGAGAUGUGGAGGAAUACCGAUGGCGAAGGCAGCCCCCUGGGCCAAUACUGACGCUCAUGCACGAAAGCGUGGGGAGCAAACAGGAUUAGAUACCCUGGUAGUCCACGCCCUAAACGAUGUCAACUAGUUGUUGGGGAUUCAUUUCCUUAGUAACGUAGCUAACGCGUGAAGUUGACCGCCUGGGGAGUACGGUCGCAAGAUUAAAACUCAAAGGAAUUGACGGGGUCAUAGCUGUUUCCU
Molecule: ribosomal RNA, 586 nt
Filed under: uncultured bacterium
Lineage: Bacteria
Description: partial 16S ribosomal RNA
Rfam family: Bacterial small subunit ribosomal RNA
Source: RNAcentral